UAGGGAAUCUUCCACAAUGGACGCAAGUCUGAUGGAGCAACGCCGCGUGAGUGAAGAAGGCUUUCGGGUCGUAAAACUCUGUUAUUGAAGAAGAACGUGCGUGACAGUAACUGGUCAUGCAGUGACGGUAUUCAAUCAGAAAGUCACGGCUAACUACGUGCCAGCAGCCGCGGUAAUACGUAGGUGGCAAGCGUUGUCCGGA
This 202-nucleotide ribosomal RNA is filed under the name uncultured bacterium. RNAcentral describes it as "partial 16S ribosomal RNA". It matches the Rfam family "Bacterial small subunit ribosomal RNA", at positions 355 to 549 of the family's 1533-position model. The record is from RNAcentral.